CUCAGCUCCCAUUAUAAACUGAAUUAUACUCUCCCCAAAUUCAUAAGUUGAAGCUCUAACUUCCCAGCGUUACUGUGUUUGGAGCUUGGCCCUUUAAAGAGGUAAUUGAAUGAGAUUAUAAAGUCGGAGGCCUGACCAAGAGGACUGGCACCUUAGAGAGGAAGAGACACCAGGGAUCCUGCCCACAGAUAAAAGGCUGUUCGAGGACACAGAAGAAGGUCUUCCUCAGACCCCCAAAUUUCCAGACCCAGAAAAGCACCAGAAGCACCCCCCGCCCCGUGGAAAUGAGAAGAAACGUAAACAAGCCUCAAAAACAGACUUCUGGAUCACCUACAGCAACCCCAAAGGGAAAUGAGAUGGAACAAUCUGAUACUCAACCACCUGGACUCUCUGAACUGGCAACAAAAGAGGAUCUGGGAAAAAUGAAAUCAGUGCAAAUGAAUCAAAGUGAAGGACAGAAAGAACCUAGAAACUACCUCCAGAAGGAGACUCCAGCACCCCAAAACCUAGUAACAUAUUUGGCGAGCCAGCCAGGAGGCCAGUGGCCCAGCCUCAGUUUCCCCACACUAGACAACCUCCCAGGAUGGCUACCACCAUUUCUUACGUGGGCCCCCUUGAUUAUGCUGGCUCUGUGAUUGCUUUGACCAAUGGAAUGUGGCAGAAGUGAUAUGCUAGAACUUCUUUCAAUCUGAGGACUUACAAAGAUUAGCAUGUUCUUCUUCUCUUGGAACCCAGCCCCUGUGCUCUAAGAAACCAGAAGCCACACCGGGAGACUGCCUGGAGGAACCUGAGGAGCUCUGGGCCAGCCCCAGCUGAGCCCCCAGCCAGCAGCGCUGACUGCCCACCAUGUGCCAGAGCCAUCUUGCAUGUGGCAACCAGAUAGCAUCGCAUGGGACAGAACUUUCUGGCUGAGUGUGGUCACCUCACAGAAUUGGGACAGAGAGCAUGAUUAGUAACUCAGGUCCAGUGCCUUGUUUGCAGCAACGGAUAACUGAAACACACAUCUUCUUCCUGUUCCUCAGAUCCACCUAGCUCAUUCUCCCAUCAGCUCCAGUGGCUCCUUCUGCUCAGACUCAGUUGACUGGUCCUUUUCAUCUUUCGCGUGAGUCUGUAGCACCUUUGUUUUCCCUUGGAAAGCUGCUCUUUCUUCAGUGCAGCCCACUGGUCAAACCCCCUGUCUUCUCACCCACCCUCAUCUGGACUCCAGGCUUGUAGACAAGACCAAGCUGAUUGGCAACUCUACAUCCUCUUUCUGGGCUCAAUUUCUGAGUCAGAACUGGGUGCAUGGGCCAGGUCAUUCAAUGAGAGUCAGUUCCAGGAAUUAUUAUGAGUAAGGAGAGACUCUUAGCUGGCGUUGUUAAGUUGAUUUCGCAUAAGCCUGGAACUGCUGGUGCCCAACCACAAAGGGCAGGACUGUCUGAGAUGGACAGAAGGCCAGAGACAGAGAGAAAGUGAAAGAAGCUCCUAGAUCUAGCCAUAACUGAAGCUAUUGUUUCUCUAGAUUUUUAGCCAAUACUUCUCAUUCUACUAUCACCCUUCUCUUCCUUUGGGUAACCUAGUUUUAGAUCCAUCUUCUGUCCCUUGCUCUUAAAAUAUCACCAUUGCUAGGCUCACUCUUUACCAUUUCUGCCAAGUAUGAGGUUGAACAAUAUGAAGUUGGCAUUCUUACUGGUCAAAAUGACUGAAUAUCAGAAAUCUUAUAUGCUACCUAACUUGAACAGCUCCAGAAAUGGGAAAAUCAUUAUUGAUGCAGCCCAAUUAAAUAUUAGAGAUUUAACUCAUAGAAAGUUUAAAAAACCACACCCAAAUCCAUCUCCUUGUUCCCCCACAGUCCUGGGCACUCUCCUCGUUUGAUGUCAAGUGGAGCACUUAACUUCAAAACACCAGAGUGGAGUCUCCUGCAGGCAGAAAAGCAUGAGAUUAUGG
Heterocephalus glaber (naked mole-rat) is the source of this 1926-nucleotide long non-coding RNA. Lineage: Eukaryota; Metazoa; Chordata; Mammalia; Rodentia; Bathyergidae. The record is from Ensembl.